Non-coding RNA from Pelobates cultripes (western spadefoot toad), 539 nucleotides. NCBI's taxonomy places the organism in Eukaryota, Metazoa, Chordata, Amphibia, Anura, Pelobatidae. The record is from the annotation of a GenBank genome assembly.
ACAGAUUGAUGAAGAUGCCAGCUGUCUAGGUACCCCAAAAUACAGACAAACACCAUCCACUGUUAGAUCCAUUGUACGUGGGGUUGCGCCCUGUUUCCUAGCCGCCGAUGCCUGAGCUGCCAAGCUGACCUAUUAGCCAUUGUCCUGUAGUUGUAAAAUGCCGAAGGGCAUUUGCGGAAUUAGGGCAGCGAGAAGAAACUGCCACCAGGUCUCAACUCUUGAUGUGGAAGAUGACUACUCCGAUCAUGCCAGGGUCACCAGGUGGUGUGGCCCUGCAGGCAAAUGUCCAACCUCAAGUAAUGCGUCUAAGUCUACCACAACAGAACCGAGUAGGGUCUUUACGUUCCCUCAUGACCUACCCGGUGAGUGGUCUCAUCCGAGAAUGAAUUUAUUAUGCAGGCAGGAGUGCGGCCAAAACUAGCCGUAUCCUAAGUGAUUCCAGUACUCCAAAAGGACUGUGUAACCCGCGACUGCAGUAAAGAAAGAACUCCCAAAGAACGUCCAAUCAGGGUCCCAAAACUGAACUUAUUUAGUGAAAC